AGAGUUUGAUCCUGGCUCAGAACGUACGCUGGCGGCACGCCUUAUACAUGCAAGUCGAACGAAGUAGCAAUACUUAGUGGCAGACGGGUGAGUAACAUGUGGGUAUCUUCCCUUUGGCCUGGAAUAACACGAGGAAACUUGUGCUAAUACUGGAUAAGUCUUUACGGAGAAAGCUUUAUGCACCAUUGGAUGAGCCCGCACUUGAUUAGUUUGUUGGUGGGGUAAUGGCCUACCAAGACAAUUAUCAAUAGCUGAUUUGAGAGGAUGAUCAGCCACAUUGGAACUGAGACACGGUCCAAACUCCUACGGGAGGCAGCAGUAGGGAAUCUUGCACAAUGGAGGAAACUCUGAUGCAGCGAUGCCGCGUGAGUGAAGAAGGCCCUUGGGUUGUAAAGCUCUUGCCCCGGGGAAGAAAAUGACUGUAACCGAAUAAGAAGGUCCGGCCAACUCCGUGCAAGCAGCGCGGUAAUACGAAGGGACCUAGCGUAGUCGGAAUAACUGGGCCUAAAGAGUUCGUAGGUUGUAAAAAAAGUUGGUGGUGAAAUCCCAGAGCUUAACUCUGGAACUGCCAUCAAAACUUUUUAGCUAGAGUAUGAUAGAGGAAAGCAGAAUUUCUAGUGUAGAGGUGAAAUUCGUAGAUAUUAGAAAGAAUACCAAUUGCGAAGGCAGCUUUCUGGAUCAUUACUGACACUGAGGAACGAAAGCAUGGGUAGCGAAGAGGAUUAGAUACCCUCGUAGUCCAUGCUGUAAACGAUGUGUGUUAGACGUUGGAAAUUUAUUUUCAGUGUCGCAGCGAAAGCAAUAAACACACCGCCUGGGGAGUACGACCGCAAGGUUAAAACUCAAAUGAAUUGACGGGGACCCGCACAAGUAGUGGAGCAUGUGGUUUAAUUCGAAGAUACGCGCAGAACCUUACCAACACUUGACAUGUUUGUCGCGACUUUAAGAGAUAGAGUCUGCGGUUCGGCCGGAAAAAACACACACACCACAUGGCUGUCGUCAGCUCGUGUCGUGAGAUGUUGGGUUAAGUCCCGCAACGAGCGCAACCCUCACUUUUAGUUACCAUCAUUUAGUUGGGUACUCUGAAAGAACUGCCAGUGAUAAGCUGGAGGAAGGUGGGGAUGACGUCAAGUCCUCAUGGCCCUUACGUGUUGGGCUACACACGUGCUACAAUGAUAUCUACAACAGGAAGCAAGAUGGCGACGUUAAGCAAAUCCUAAAAAGAUAUCUCAGUUCGGAUUGCACUCUGCAACUCGAGUGCAUGAAGCUGGAAUUACUAGUAAUCGUGGAUCAGCGUGCCACGGUGAAUACGUUCCCGGGUCUUGUACACACCGCCCGUCACACCAUGGGAGUUGGUUCUACCUUAAGGCAAAGAUUAAAACCUUUGACCACGGUAUAGUCAGCGACUGGGGUGAAGUCGUAACAAGGUAACC
Molecule: ribosomal RNA, 1433 nt
Filed under: uncultured Pelagibacterales bacterium
Lineage: Bacteria; Pseudomonadati; Pseudomonadota; Alphaproteobacteria; Candidatus Pelagibacterales
Description: bacterial SSU rRNA
Rfam family: Bacterial small subunit ribosomal RNA
Source: RNAcentral